AUACGAAGGGGGCUAGCGUUGUUCGGAAUUACUGGGCGUAAAGCGCGCGUAGGCGGAUUGGUCAGUUAGGGGUGAAAUCCCAGGGCUUAACCCUGGAACUGCCUCUAAUACUGCCAGUCUUGAGUUCGGGAGAGGUGAGUGGAAUUCCUAGUGUAGAGGUGAAAUGCGUAGAUAUUAGGAAGAACACCAGUGGCGAAGGCGGCUCACUGGCCCGAUACUGACGCUGAGGCGCGAAAGCGUGGGGAGCAAACAGGAUUAGAUACCCUAGUAGUCC
RNAcentral lists this ribosomal RNA (274 nucleotides) under uncultured bacterium. Its description in RNAcentral is "partial 16S ribosomal RNA". It matches the Rfam family "Bacterial small subunit ribosomal RNA", at positions 523 to 796 of the family's 1533-position model. The record is from RNAcentral.